RNAcentral lists this ribosomal RNA (1260 nucleotides) under Acinetobacter baumannii. RNAcentral describes it as "bacterial SSU rRNA". It matches the Rfam family "Bacterial small subunit ribosomal RNA", at positions 56 to 1313 of the family's 1533-position model. The record is from RNAcentral. Lineage: Bacteria; Pseudomonadati; Pseudomonadota; Gammaproteobacteria; Moraxellales; Moraxellaceae.
UGCAGUCGAGCGGGGGAGGUAGCUUGCUACUGGACCUAGCGGCGGACGGGUGAGUAAUGCUUAGGAAUCUGCCUAUUAGUGGGGGACAACAUCUCGAAAGGGAUGCUAAUACCGCAUACGUCCUACGGGAGAAAGCAGGGGAUCUUCGGACCUUGCGCUAAUAGAUGAGCCUAAGUCGGAUUAGCUAGUUGGUGGGGUAAAGGCCUACCAAGGCGACGAUCUGUAGCGGGUCUGAGAGGAUGAUCCGCCACACUGGGACUGAGACACGGCCCAGACUCCUACGGGAGGCAGCAGUGGGGAAUAUUGGACAAUGGGGGGAACCCUGAUCCAGCCAUGCCGCGUGUGUGAAGAAGGCCUUAUGGUUGUAAAGCACUUUAAGCGAGGAGGAGGCUACUUUAGUUAAUACCUAGAGAUAGUGGACGUUACUCGCAGAAUAAGCACCGGCUAACUCUGUGCCAGCAGCCGCGGUAAUACAGAGGGUGCGAGCGUUAAUCGGAUUUACUGGGCGUAAAGCGUGCGUAGGCGGCUUAUUAAGUCGGAUGUGAAAUCCCCGAGCUUAACUUGGGAAUUGCAUUCGAUACUGGUGAGCUAGAGUAUGGGAGAGGAUGGUAGAAUUCCAGGUGUAGCGGUGAAAUGCGUAGAGAUCUGGAGGAAUACCGAUGGCGAAGGCAGCCAUCUGGCCUAAUACUGACGCUGAGGUACGAAAGCAUGGGGAGCAAACAGGAUUAGAUACCCUGGUAGUCCAUGCCGUAAACGAUGUCUACUAGCCGUUGGGGCCUUUGAGGCUUUAGUGGCGCAGCUAACGCGAUAAGUAGACCGCCUGGGGAGUACGGUCGCAAGACUAAAACUCAAAUGAAUUGACGGGGGCCCGCACAAGCGGUGGAGCAUGUGGUUUAAUUCGAUGCAACGCGAAGAACCUUACCUGGCCUUGACAUACUAGAAACUUUCCAGAGAUGGAUUGGUGCCUUCGGGAAUCUAGAUACAGGUGCUGCAUGGCUGUCGUCAGCUCGUGUCGUGAGAUGUUGGGUUAAGUCCCGCAACGAGCGCAACCCUUUUCCUUACUUGCCAGCAUUUCGGAUGGGAACUUUAAGGAUACUGCCAGUGACAAACUGGAGGAAGGCGGGGACGACGUCAAGUCAUCAUGGCCCUUACGGCCAGGGCUACACACGUGCUACAAUGGUCGGUACAAAGGGUUGCUACACAGCGAUGUGAUGCUAAUCUCAAAAAGCCGAUCGUAGUCCGGAUUGGAGUCUGCAACUC